This 1478-nucleotide ribosomal RNA is filed under the name uncultured bacterium. RNAcentral's name for it is "16S ribosomal RNA". It matches the Rfam family "Bacterial small subunit ribosomal RNA". The record is from RNAcentral.
GAGUUUGAUCCUGGCUCAGGAUAAACGCUGGCGGCGCACAUAAGACAUGCAAGUCGAACGGACUUAAUCAGUUUGUUUACAAAUUGAAGCGGUUAGUGGCGGACUGGUGAGUAACACGUAAGCAACCUGCCCAUUAGAGGGGAAUAACAGUGAGAAAUCAUUGCUAAUACCGCAUAUACCAAUAAUGUUGCAUGACAUAUUUGGGAAAGGAGCAAUCCGCUAAUAGAUGGGCUUACGCCUGAUUAGCUAGUUGGUGGGGUAACGGCCUACCAAGGCGACGAUCAGUAGCCGGACUGAGAGGUUGAACGGCCACAUUGGGACUGAGAUACGGCCCAGACUCCUACGGGAGGCAGCAGUCGGGAAUAUUGCGCAAUGGAGGAAACUCUGACGCAGCGACGCCGCGUAUAGGAAGAAGGUUUUCGGAUUGUAAACUAUCGUCAUUAGGGAAGAAAAAAGACAGUACCUAAGGAGGAAGCUCCGGCUAACUACGUGCCAGCAGCCGCGGUAAUACGUAGGGAGCAAGCGUUAUCCGGAAUUAUUGGGUGUAAAGGGUGCGUAGACGGGAAUUUAAGUUAGUUGUGAAAUCCCUCGGCUUAACUGAGGAACUGCAACUAAAACUGGAUUUCUUGAGUGCAGGAGAGGAAAGUGGAAUUCCUAGUGUAGCGGUGAAAUGCGUAGAUAUUAGGAGGAACACCAGUGGCGAAGGCGACUUUCUGGACUGUAACUGACGUUGAGGCACGAAAGUGUGGGGAGCAAACAGGAUUAGAUACCCUGGUAGUCCACACUGUAAACGAUGGAUACUAGGUGUAGGGUGUAUUAAGCAUUCUGUGCCGUCGCAAACGCAAUAAGUAUCCCACCUGGGGAGUACGGCCGCAAGGUUGAAACUCAAAGGAAUUGACGGGGGCCCGCACAAGCAGUGGAGUAUGUGGUUUAAUUCGAAGCAACGCGAAGAACCUUACCAGGGCUUGACAUAUAGAGGAAUAUAUAAGAGAUUAUAUAGCUCUUCGGAGUCUCUAUACAGGUGGUGCAUGGUUGUCGUCAGCUCGUGUCGUGAGAUGUUGGGUUAAGUCCCGCAACGAGCGCAACCCCUAUGGUUAGUUGCCAGCAUUUAGGAUGGGAACUCUAGCCAGACUGCCGGUGAUAAAUCGGAGGAAGGUGGGGACGACGUCAAAUCAUCAUGCCCUUUAUGUCCUGGGCUAUACACGUACUACAAUGGUUGUAACAAAGGGAAGCAAAAUAGUGAUAUAGAGCAAAACCCAAAAAGCAACCUCAGUUCGGAUUGAAGGCUGAAAUUCGCCUUCAUGAAGCCGGAAUUGCUAGUAAUGGCAGGUCAGCAUACUGCCGUGAAUACGUUCCCGGGCCUUGUACACACCGCCCGUCACACCAUGAGAGUUGGGAAUACCCGAAGCCUGUGAGCUAACAUAUGAGGCAGCAGUCGAAGGUAGAAUCAAUGAUUGGGGUGAAGUCGUAACAAGGUA